UGACGAUUAAAUUUGAACUAUUAGUACCUGUGGAUAGAACUUUCGUUUUUCAUUUCUAUCUAUACCAGCUUCUGUCGAAUGUAUAUAAACGCAGCUUCGUAGAAUUCCACGUUGCUGCUUGUGACAUCCUUCUUACGCAAAACCUUGUGUGUGAGAUGGUUAAAGAGUCAUACUUACGUAUGCCUGAAGCGGAGCGUCCUAUGAAAAAAUUUGGUUGUCCAGUGCCACCUGGUAAUUAUACAUUAGCAGACUUGAAUUUGAACUUGUUUCAACUUCCGG
RNAcentral lists this unclassified non-coding RNA (279 nucleotides) under Melitaea cinxia (Glanville fritillary). RNAcentral's name for it is "misc RNA ENSMCXG00005016143.1". The record is from RNAcentral. Lineage: Eukaryota; Metazoa; Arthropoda; Insecta; Lepidoptera; Nymphalidae.